CAUCGAAAAAAGCCAGGCAUGGGUGCGUGCUCCUGUAACCCGAGCAUUGGCAGAGAUGAGCAGAUCCUGAGAUCUCUGGCCAGCCAGCAGCCUAGCAGAAACUUUUCUAACCUCAGGUUCCAUGGGAGAUCAUCUGAAGGAACAAGGCAGAGCAAUAGAGGAAGACACCCAAUAUCUUCUGUCCUACGCAUGUGUGUAUACAGCUCCCAGAGAUGCUGUCUAAGACAGGCAUGGUGGCUCGUGACUACAAUCUCAUCUCCUGAGUGGCUGAAGCAGGAGGACUACCAGGAGACGGAGGCCACAUGAAUAGGAUUGCUUCAAGUUUUUGGCCAGUCUCAGUCAUAUAACAAGACCCUGUCUUAGAAAAUAAACAGCCUGGGGUUGUGGCCCAAGUCUUUAAUUCUAGCACUCAGAGAUAGUGGAUGGCUCUCUAUGAGUUCAAGACCAGCCUGGUUUACCUGAGACCAUAUUUAGAAGAAGAAGAAAGAGGAAGAGGAGUCCUAGGUACUAGGAGUACAAGUGUGUACCACCGCAUCCGUAGUGAAUUCUUUCUUAUGGGCUCUUAAUUUGUUCUGGUCUUUUUCAUAUUACGCUUAUUGCAGAGCAGGAACAACUAUAAAAUAAAAAUUUAAAGGCAAACAC
RNAcentral lists this long non-coding RNA (642 nucleotides) under Mus musculus (house mouse). RNAcentral's name for it is "predicted gene 16201". Lineage: Eukaryota; Metazoa; Chordata; Mammalia; Rodentia; Muridae. The record is from RNAcentral.